CUAAUUCCAGUUGAUCCUGCUGGAGGGUACUGCUAUCAGAAUUCGACUAAGCCAUGCAAGUCUACCCCUUCUGCAAGGAGGGGUGGCAUACGGCUGAGUAGCGAGUGGUCAAUCUGCCCUAAGGAGGGGGAUAACCUCGGGAAACUGAGGCUAAUACCACAUAGGUUAUGGAUGCUGGAAAGCUUCAUAGCCCAAACAGCGUGGCGAAAUGCAGCCAUGUCUGCCUUAGGAUGAGACUGCUUCCGAUUAGGUAGUUGGUGGGGUAACGGCCCACCAAGCCGAUAAUCGGUGGGGGCAAUGGGAGUUGGCGCCCCCAGAGGAGCACUGAGACAAGGGCUCCAGUCCUACGGGAUGCAGCAGGCGCGAAACCUUCGCAAUGCGCGAAAGCGUGACGAGGGGAUUCUGAGUGAUGCUCCACGCGAGCAUCUUUUCGUAAGCUUAAGGAGCUUGCGGAAUAAGAGCUGGGCAAGACCGGUGACAGCCGCCGCGGUAACACCGGCAGCUCGAGUGGUAUCCACGAAUAUUGGGCUUAAAGAGUCCGUAGCUGGCCCGCUAAGUUCUCUGUGAAAUCUUCAAGCUCAACUUGAAGGAGUGCAGAGAAUACUGACGGGCUUGGGAGCGGGGGAGGCCAAGAGUACUCACGGGGUAGGGGUAAAAUCCGUUAAUCCUGUGAGGACUCCCAGUGGCGAAGGCGCUUGGCCAAAACGCGUCCGACAGUGAGGGACGAAGGCUAGGAGAACGAAUCGGAUUAGAUACCCGAGUAGCCCUAGCAGUAAAUUAUGCAGACUGUGGUGUUGCCAUAGCUUAGUGCUGUGGCAGUGCCGUAGCGUAAGUGUUAAGUCUGCCGCCUGGGGAGUACGGCCGCAAGGUUGAAACUUAAAGGAAUUGGCGGGGGAGCACCACAAGGGGUGGAUGCUGCGGUUUAAUUGGAUUCAACGCCGGGAAUAUCACCGGGAGCGACGGCAGUAUGAAGGUCAGACUGAAGAUCUUACCUGACGAGCCGAGAGGUGGUGCAUGGCCAUCGUCAGCUCGUGCUGUGAAGUGUCCGGUUAAGUCCGGUAA
RNAcentral lists this ribosomal RNA (1062 nucleotides) under Candidatus Fermentimicrarchaeum limneticum. Its description in RNAcentral is "bacterial SSU rRNA". It matches the Rfam family "Archaeal small subunit ribosomal RNA", at positions 1 to 1041 of the family's 1478-position model. The record is from RNAcentral. Lineage: Archaea; Nanobdellati; Microcaldota; Candidatus Fermentimicrarchaeales; Candidatus Fermentimicrarchaeaceae.